GCUCCCAUGGACAAGUUGGUUAAGUUGGUGGCCCUUCAAGCCGCAGACGGGGGAUCGUAGCCCCCUGGGAGUA
This 73-nucleotide transfer RNA is filed under the name Caudoviricetes sp. RNAcentral describes it as "tRNA-Glu". It matches the Rfam family "tRNA". From Rfam's summary of the family: Transfer RNA (tRNA) molecules are approximately 80 nucleotides in length. Their secondary structure includes four short double-helical elements and three loops (D, anti-codon, and T loops). Further hydrogen bonds mediate the characteristic L-shaped molecular structure. tRNAs have two regions of fundamental functional importance: the anti-codon, which is responsible for specific mRNA codon recognition, and the 3' end, to which the tRNAs corresponding amino acid is attached (by aminoacyl-tRNA synthetases). tRNAs cope with the degeneracy of the genetic code in two manners: having more than one tRNA (with a specific anti-codon) for a particular amino acid; and 'wobble' base-pairing, i.e. permitting non-standard base-pairing at the 3rd anti-codon position. The record is from RNAcentral. Lineage: Duplodnaviria; Heunggongvirae; Uroviricota; Caudoviricetes.